RNAcentral lists this ribosomal RNA (648 nucleotides) under Karenia selliformis. RNAcentral describes it as "eukaryotic LSU rRNA". The stretch from base 247 to 401 matches the Rfam family "5.8S ribosomal RNA". The record is from RNAcentral. Lineage: Eukaryota; Dinophyceae; Gymnodiniales; Kareniaceae.
CCGUAGGGGAACCUGCGGAAGGAUCAUUCACACGCAUCCAAAUCGAUUCAUUGUGAACCACCUGCUGUGAUUUGUGCCUCUGGAUGGAGACAACUCGUCUACAACUUUGGGCAGAAAUCGCGGGUAGUCCGGGUGAUAUUGGACCGUCUUCCUUUAUUGUCUGGCUACCAUGUUUGUUUGGACGAUGUGCUACUUGGUGAUCAAUCUUCCAUCUUGCGUGGGUGACCACCAUUAUGUUUAAGAUACAACUUUCAGCGACGGAUGUCUCGGCUCGAACAACGAUGAAGGGCGCAGCGAAGUGUGAUAAGCAUUGUGAAUUGCAGAAUUCCGUGAACCAAUAGGGAUUUGAACGUAUACUGCGCUUUCGGGAUAUCCCUGAAAGCAUGCCUGCUUCAGUGUCAAUAUGCUUACAUGCCACUGUCAACUUGUCAUGUGCGCUGCACAUGCAUUGACAGUAGUGCGUAUCUGUGGAUUAAGGUGCUCUGUGCCCUUGAUACAUGUAGUGUAUGGGUUCAGUGCUGCAUCAACAACUUGAUAAACACCUUGUGUGUAACCUGUUGCUUUGUCUGCUGCACUGACAACCUUGCCUCUGAUCCUGCUUGCAUGGAUUCUUUUCAUGACAUGAAGUUAGGUGAGCAAACCCGCUGA